Non-coding RNA from Schistosoma haematobium, 45 nucleotides. The record is from Rfam. Lineage: Eukaryota; Metazoa; Platyhelminthes; Trematoda; Strigeidida; Schistosomatidae.
AUCUAGCUGACGAGUCCCAAAUAGAAAGAAAUGCGUGUCCUGGAU